GAUCUGCUGUCCUGGCACUGUGCUGGGUCUGAGGUCCCCAGUACAUCCCAGACUUGCAGAAGCAGCAUUUUCCAGAGGAAGCUGAGGCAUGGCUGCCCCAGAGCCAGUGGCUGCAUGUGCAGUGUUCCUCCGAAGGCUCCUGCUCUUGAUCCACCAGCGGUAAGACAAGUUUUGCAGUUGAAUGAUGUUUAGCAGAUGGAGUGUUUUGGACACUAAGUACCUCUACACAA
RNAcentral lists this small nucleolar RNA (230 nucleotides) under Ochotona princeps (American pika). The record is from RNAcentral. Lineage: Eukaryota; Metazoa; Chordata; Mammalia; Lagomorpha; Ochotonidae.